GCCUUCGUGGUGUAGUGGGCAGCACGUUGGACCGCACUCCAAAGGUCCGUGGUUCGAGUCCCGGCGAAGGCG
Molecule: transfer RNA, 72 nt
Filed under: Stegodyphus mimosarum
Lineage: Eukaryota; Metazoa; Arthropoda; Arachnida; Araneae; Eresidae
Rfam family: tRNA
About the family: Transfer RNA (tRNA) molecules are approximately 80 nucleotides in length. Their secondary structure includes four short double-helical elements and three loops (D, anti-codon, and T loops).
Source: Rfam by way of RNAcentral